GCCUGGGUGGCUCAGUUGGUUGAGCGUCCGACUUCAGCUCAGGUCACGAUCUCGCGGUCCGUGAGUUCGAGCCCCGCAUCAGGCU
Molecule: transfer RNA, 85 nt
Filed under: Felis catus (domestic cat)
Lineage: Eukaryota; Metazoa; Chordata; Mammalia; Carnivora; Felidae
Also listed under: 1 other name
Rfam family: tRNA
About the family: Transfer RNA (tRNA) molecules are approximately 80 nucleotides in length.
Source: Rfam by way of RNAcentral